UACGUAGGGUGCGAGCGUUGUCCGGAAUUAUUGGGCGUAAAGAGCUCGUAGGCGGUGUGUCACGUCGGCCGUGAAAACCUGCAGCUUAACUGUGGGCGUGCGGUCGAUACGGGCAUCACUGGAGUUCGGCAGGGGAGACUGGAAUUCCUGGUGUAGCGGUGAAAUGCGCAGAUAUCAGGAGGAACACCGGUGGCGAAGGCGGGUCUCUGGGCCGAUACUGACGCUGAGGCACGAAGGUCAGGGGAGCAAACGGG
Molecule: ribosomal RNA, 254 nt
Filed under: uncultured bacterium
Lineage: Bacteria
Description: partial 16S ribosomal RNA
Rfam family: Bacterial small subunit ribosomal RNA
Source: RNAcentral